AGUGAACGCUGGCGGUAGGCCUAACACAUGCAAGUCGAACGGCAGCACAGUAAGAGCUUGCUCUUACGGGUGGCGAGUGGCGGACGGGUGAGGAAUACAUCGGAAUCUACUUUUUCGUGGGGGAUAACGUAGGGAAACUUACGCUAAUACCGCAUACGACCUACGGGUGAAAGCAGGGGAUCUUCGGACCUUGCGCGAUUGAAUGAGCCGAUGUCGGAUUAGCUAGUUGGCGGGGUAAAGGCCCACCAAGGCGACGAUCCGUAGCUGGUCUGAGAGGAUGAUCAGCCACACUGGAACUGAGACACGGUCCAGACUCCUACGGGAGGCAGCAGUGGGGAAUAUUGGACAAUGGGCGCAAGCCUGAUCCAGCCGUACCGCGUGGGUGAAGAAGGCCUUCGGGUUGUAAAGCCCUUUUGUUGGGAAAGAAAGGCAGCAGGUUAAUACCCCGCUGUUCUGACGGUACCCAAAGAAUAAGCACCGGCUAACUUCGUG
RNAcentral lists this ribosomal RNA (492 nucleotides) under uncultured bacterium. Its description in RNAcentral is "partial 16S ribosomal RNA". It matches the Rfam family "Bacterial small subunit ribosomal RNA", at positions 29 to 507 of the family's 1533-position model. The record is from RNAcentral.